RNAcentral lists this ribosomal RNA (1140 nucleotides) under Triticum aestivum (bread wheat). RNAcentral describes it as "partial small subunit ribosomal RNA". The record is from RNAcentral. Lineage: Eukaryota; Viridiplantae; Streptophyta; Magnoliopsida; Poales; Poaceae.
AUGGCGCUCCCGGAUGAACUCCUGGAGGAGAUCUUCCUCCGCCUCCCCGCGGCCGCCGACCUCGCGCGCGCCUUCACGGCCUGCGUCUCCUUCCGCCGCGUCAUCACCGGCCAUCCCUUCCUCCGCCGAUUCCGCGUGCUCCACCCGCCGCCUCUCCUCGGCAUCCUCUGCUGGGAUCUCACCCCGGCCCAGCCGCCCCACCCUUCCGCCGCCGCAGCGGCCACCUUGGCCGGCGCCGACUUCUCCUGCCCCUUCCUCCCCCCGUCCCCCGACCGCUGGUACCGCCGCGACGUCCUCGACGGUUGCACCCUUUUCAGCCCCCGCUUCAAGGCGGGCAGCCAUUCGCGCAACAGCAUGCACAGGCCCAGCGACCUGGUCACGGAGUUCGCCGUCUGCGACCCGCUGCACCGCCGCUACCUCCUGCUGCCUGCCCUCCCCGACCAUCUAGCCGACCUGGUCCAUCAGCCGGACAUCGUGGAGCGUGAGCCCUUCCUUGCUCCUCCUGGUGACUCGUCAUUCAGAGACUUCAGAGUCAUGUGCUUGGUGCGGUGCACAACCAAGCUCGUCCUCUUCGUCUUCUCCUCCUGCGCUGGGCAAUGGCUCGCUGAUCCUAUCACAUUUGACGUGUUUGGGUGCGUCGCGGCGUUGCGCCGCUACUACGCCCAUGGAUGCUUCUGUUGGCAGACUUGUGAUGGUGCCGACAUGCUCGUGCUCGACACGCGCGGGAUGGAGUUCUCCACUGUCGACCUUCCACCUCCACCUGGCUCUUAUAUGCGGGACAUGGCCAUUGUGGAGGCAGAGGAAGGAAGGUUUGGGAUGUUUACUAUCUCUGAUAAAGUUAAACGUGGUGUAUAUCAUCUCUUGUAUGCCACACGAUGCAAGGAUGGGAAUGGGGAAAACCAAUGGCAACCCAAGCCUCCAAUCUCUUUGCCAGAAAAUUAUCGCUAUUGCAUCAAGGGUGUAGCUGGUGGAUACUUACUCCUAAUUGGGUAUCCAAAAGAUGAUAGGUCAACAGUAGACUAUUUUUCACUGAAUCUCCAGACUUUCCAGGUUGAAUGGUUCUGUCAGACUGGUGAUUAUGUCAUGAUUGGUCACAUGUAUGCCGAUCUCCCACCGCCCUUAUCCCCACCAACUCUUUGA